This 252-nucleotide ribosomal RNA is filed under the name uncultured bacterium. RNAcentral describes it as "partial small subunit ribosomal RNA". It matches the Rfam family "Bacterial small subunit ribosomal RNA", at positions 26 to 278 of the family's 1533-position model. The record is from RNAcentral.
AGGACGAACGCUGGCGGCGUGCUUAACACAUGCAAGUCGAGCGGUAAGGCCUCCUUCGGGGGGUACACGAGCGGCGAACGGGUGAGUAACACGUGGGUGACCUGCCCUCAGCUCUGGGAUAAGCCUGGGAAACCGGGUCUAAUACCGGAUAGGACUGCUUGCCGCAUGGUGGGUGGUGGAAAGUUUUUUCGGCUGGGGAUGGGCCCGCGGCCUAUCAGCUUGUUGGUGGGGUGAUGGCCUACCAAGGCGGCG